GGCCAGAACACACCCAGUCAGUCAGUACCUGCAGGCCAGAACACACCCAGUCAGUCAGUCAGUACCUGCAGGCCAGAACACACCCAGUCAGUCAGUACCUGCAGGCCAGAACACACCCAGUCAGUCAGUACCUGCAGGCCAGAACACACCCAGUCAGUCAGUACCUGCAGGCCAGAACACACCCAGUCAGUCAGUACCUGCAGGCCAGAACACACCCAGUCAGUCAGUACCUGCAGGCCAGAACACACCCAGUCAGUCAGUACCUGCAGGCC
Molecule: long non-coding RNA, 272 nt
Organism: Oncorhynchus keta (chum salmon)
Lineage: Eukaryota; Metazoa; Chordata; Actinopteri; Salmoniformes; Salmonidae
Exons: 3
Source: RefSeq, a predicted model, not a curated record